Molecule: long non-coding RNA, 455 nt
Organism: Cebus imitator (Panamanian white-faced capuchin)
Lineage: Eukaryota; Metazoa; Chordata; Mammalia; Primates; Cebidae
Exons: 3
Source: RefSeq, a predicted model, not a curated record
AUCCAGGAUUUCUCUUCCCCAAGGCAGGUUAUAGAAACUACAACUCCUCUCUUCCAAAGCAAGCCAAAAAGAAGACCCUCAUUCCAAAGGAGCCCUUCCCUGUAGCCAGCAGGAAGGAUGCUACACGAAGAGGCCAAGUCAUAACCCUUAAAGUUGAUUUCCUCUGUGUGACCAUUUUCUGUCAAGAAAUGUAGCUUUAUAUCCACUACUGGGCAAAGACAUAGAGAAGGGAUGGUGAUGGUGAUGGAGGGUCUCCAGGGGAAUUACGAGAGUUGUGGUGGUGUCUCACGAGGCAUUGGCGAGGGAAAAGAUCCCACUCACAUGAUUGGCAGGCCUGGGCAAAGCUAGUAUGGACAGUCUCUAAAGUACUCUCAGAUGGAAGUAUUCAUGGAGCAGUUUUGAUAUGAUUUGGCUGUGUCCCCACCCAAAUCUCAUCUUGAAUUGUAGUUCACAUA